RNAcentral lists this non-coding RNA (29 nucleotides) under Mus musculus (house mouse). Lineage: Eukaryota; Metazoa; Chordata; Mammalia; Rodentia; Muridae. The record is from RNAcentral.
UUGAAUGGAGAAUGAGGCAGCAGUGGUGU